GCACGAUAAAGGCAAACCUUGGGUGAUCAGGGGACGCAAAGUAACAGGGUCUUUAUCUGUACAAAGAAGUACGGAUAAAAAUGAAAUUUUCAUACGUAUACGGAAAUAACGUAUCCCUAAGACAGCCUUACUACCAAA
Molecule: non-coding RNA, 138 nt
Filed under: Candidatus Brocadia
Lineage: Bacteria; Pseudomonadati; Planctomycetota; Candidatus Brocadiia; Candidatus Brocadiales; Candidatus Brocadiaceae
Also listed under: 1 other name
Description: c-di-GMP sequence
Rfam family: c-di-GMP-I riboswitch aptamer
About the family: GEMM was predicted in a large-scale screen for bacterial structured RNA regulatory elements. Genes associated with GEMM are involved in a diverse array of functions, including chemotaxis regulation, signal transduction, secretion and chitin.
Source: RNAcentral